UACGAAGGGUGCAAGCGUUACUCGGAAUUACUGGGCGUAAAGCGUGCGUAGGCGGUGUGUUAAGUCUGUUGUGAAAUCCCCGGGCUCAACCUGGGACUUGCAUUGGAUACUGGCUCGCUAGAGUACGGUAGAGGGUGGUGGAAUUCCCGGUGUAGCAGUGAAAUGCGUAGAGAUCGGGAGGAACAUCUGUGGCGAAGGCGGCCACCUGGACCAGUACUGACGCUGAGGCGCGAAAGCGUGGGGAGCAAACAGG
RNAcentral lists this ribosomal RNA (253 nucleotides) under uncultured bacterium. RNAcentral's name for it is "partial 16S ribosomal RNA". It matches the Rfam family "Bacterial small subunit ribosomal RNA", at positions 524 to 776 of the family's 1533-position model. The record is from RNAcentral.